AGAAUUUUAGGGUCUCAGAUGACUUUGGGUUUCAGAUGAUUUAUGGUUCCGAGUUCAAGCCGAAGCUUUGAUCCUGUGCUCCGAGAAACAUAGCCAACCAGUCUUGUCUGCAUCAUUUGCAUCAUAGCAUGUUUUAUUUUCAAAAAAAAUAUGCAAUAAAAAAUUAAGAAAAGAAAAGAAAAAAGAAGAGAAAAAGAAAAAGCUAAUCUCUGCAUGCAUAUCAUUUCUCAGGUUCAUUCAGGGGUCUAUUCAUUGAUAGAGAUGGCAUCCGUUCCCGAGUUGAAGCGGAAGACUUGUUCCUACAGUUUCCACCGUGAGCCU
This 321-nucleotide long non-coding RNA is filed under the name Lathyrus oleraceus (garden pea). RNAcentral's name for it is "Pisum sativum (pea) long non-coding RNA (PSAT_LNC034034)". Lineage: Eukaryota; Viridiplantae; Streptophyta; Magnoliopsida; Fabales; Fabaceae. The record is from RNAcentral.